AGCGCACCGGCGGUGCCCCACAGAUCAAGUGUAGUAUCUGUUCUUUCCAGCGUGACAGCUGGAAGAUGCCCCAUCGGUGUGUCGUGUCUGUCAUUGAAUCUUUGGACCAGGACGGAGAAGCUCGGGGCUUGCUCCGAGUUCUGUCGCGGAUGUCGCUCGUAUUGCGCUGUCUCGAGCUGACGUCCAUGGACC
Molecule: small nuclear RNA, 192 nt
Filed under: Gonapodya prolifera JEL478
Lineage: Eukaryota; Fungi; Monoblepharomycota; Monoblepharidomycetes; Monoblepharidales; Gonapodyaceae
Description: U2 spliceosomal RNA
Rfam family: U2 spliceosomal RNA
About the family: U2 is a small nuclear RNA (snRNA) component of the spliceosome (involved in pre-mRNA splicing). Complementary binding between U2 snRNA (in an area lying towards the 5' end but 3' to hairpin I) and the branchpoint sequence (BPS) of the intron results the bulging out of an unpaired adenosine, on the BPS, which initiates a nucleophilic attack at the intronic 5' splice site, thus starting the first of two transesterification reactions that mediate splicing.
Source: Rfam by way of RNAcentral